UACGGAGGGGACUAGCGUUGUUCGGAAUUACUGGGCGUAAAGCGCGCGUAGGCGGGUUCGUAAGGCGAUUGUGAAAGCCCCGGGCUUAACCUGGGAUGUGCAGUCGAAACUGUGAAUCUUGAGUGCCUGAGAGGAUGGCGGAAUUCCCGGUGUAGAAGUGAAAUUCGUAGAUAUCGGGAAGAACACCUGAGGCGAAGGCGGCUAUCUGGCGGUGCACUGACGCUGAGGCGCGAAAGCGUGGGGAGCAAACAGG
RNAcentral lists this ribosomal RNA (253 nucleotides) under uncultured bacterium. Its description in RNAcentral is "partial 16S ribosomal RNA". It matches the Rfam family "Bacterial small subunit ribosomal RNA", at positions 524 to 776 of the family's 1533-position model. The record is from RNAcentral.